Molecule: ribosomal RNA, 64 nt
Filed under: Anopheles pullus
Lineage: Eukaryota; Metazoa; Arthropoda; Insecta; Diptera; Culicidae
Description: partial 5.8S ribosomal RNA
Source: RNAcentral
AUGGAAUUUGAAGGAAAUUGCACGUCGUGGGAACCUACCAUGACGAACACAUACUUGAGCGCUU